Molecule: long non-coding RNA, 1558 nt
Organism: Homo sapiens (human)
Lineage: Eukaryota; Metazoa; Chordata; Mammalia; Primates; Hominidae
Product: long intergenic non-protein coding RNA 534
Source: Ensembl
AGAUUACUUCUGUGAGCAACUGGGUCUCUCAGUUCUUUGGGAGCACCCUGGGAAACAGUGUGGCUAUGACUUGGAGCUGCUCACCAGUUCCAGUCAUUCUGUGGUUGAGAGCUGCUCCCUAUGGAUGUUAAUUCUUCUCUAUUUUAGAUUUUCCACAGGUGUGGGCCCCAUUAGCUCUGGCCACCUGAGAAAGCCCUCAGGCAAAGAGUCGCAGGUGAAAGCCAGCAGUUAGAGGUUCACAGAAAUGAUGCCAUAGGUAUUAACACUGCAGAGAAUCAAGAGGCCUGGUGAUGCUUGUGUAGAAUUGCUGAAACGGUUGAUCGUGGAGGACAGACAGGAGAGGAAUCAUGCAAAUACUACCAGAAAAGGUUAAUGGAUGGGGGAAUAUAAAGGAGAAAGAAGCCUGCAAAAGCAAUGAAAGCAAAGAACAGGCUUAGUGGAGAGUGCAGAAGCAUCUUCAGUUGGAGAGCCAUUGCCUCUUGCUGUGAAAUAUUUGGGAAUCUUCAGAAACCAUGAAGAAUAACCUGCUAAAGGGUUUUAUUUUGUCAGUCAAGCUGGAAUGCAGUGGCGUGAACAUUGCUUACUGCAGCUUCAAUCUCCUGAGGUCAAACAAUCUUCUCACCUCAGCCUCGCAAGCAGCUAGGACUACAGGCAUGUGCCACCACGCCCCACUAAUUUUUUAAUUUUUCUUUUGUGGAGACGCAGUCUUGUUAUCUUGAACAGGCUGGUCUUGAACUCUUGGAGUCAAGCAAUCCUUCUGCCUCAGACUCUCAAAGUGCUGGGAUUACAGGCAUGAGCCACCACAUUCAGCCAGGAAAAGUUUUUGUACAUUUAAAAAAUUAUAGGAUAUUUGUGUAUAUAGCUUUGCUGGUUUGACUUCCUAGAAUAGCUCCCAGGAACACAAAGUACUUAAUUGAUUAGUAUAAAAUGAUUAUGUCAUACUCACAUGUUGGUUUUCUAAAUGCACUUAAUUUUUCUGAUUAAGAACUGAAAACUAUGCUGACCAGGGACACUGUAGACCUGUGGCUCAUUUUUGCAUAAAGGUUAUGUGUUUAUUGUCUGAUUUGGUCAUGCCUAUAGGCCAAUAGUGUUUUAUUUUGAAAUGUUUCAAACUUACAAUAAGGCACAAAAAUAAUAUAAUAGACACCAUGGUCUCAGCAUCCAGAUUUAAGAGAUGUUAAGAUGUUACUACGUUUGCUUCAGACUUUUCUAACACACACACAAAAUACUAGAGAUGCAGCCAAAACCCCAUCUAUCAAUCCCUUCCUCUUCUCUCCAGAGGUAGCUAUUACAUUGAAGUCGGUAUGUAAUAUUUCCAUGUUUGGCUUUGUACAUGUUCUACUUAUGUAUGUAUUCAUUAACUUCGUACUACUUUUUAAUGUUCUUAUAUAGUUUCAUUAGUAACAUCCCAGAGGGCAUAUCAUUUGUGAGUUUGAUUUUCUCACUCUUCAUUUCUUUUUUGGGGAUAAUUUAUUCUUGGUACAUGUAGAUCUCCUCACUCCACUACAAUUGCUUUAUGGUACUUAAUAUAUGAAUAAACUAUGGUAUAUUUAUUUCC